This is a long non-coding RNA of Oncorhynchus tshawytscha (Chinook salmon), 612 nucleotides long. Lineage: Eukaryota; Metazoa; Chordata; Actinopteri; Salmoniformes; Salmonidae. The record is from Ensembl.
ACAAUUCAAUAAUGAUGAGACGGGAGACAGGAAUCAGUUCAACCAUUUAUCUGGAAAGUGAUCAUCUCUACACAUACAAACCCCCAUGAUGCUCUGCGCCACAACCCCAAUAAACAACAAAUACAUCAUACAUAGGUAAAAUGGACAGUAAACAAAACCCAGAGGACUUUAAAUGUUCAGUUCUAGAAAGUAGGACCAUGGGACAGGGUCAGAAAGGUCAGUUACAUCAGGUCCAUUAUAACACAGUGAAGUAGGACCAUGGGACAGGGUCAGAAAGGUCAUUAUAACACAGUGAAGUAGGACCAUGGGACAGGGUCAGAAAGGUCAGUAUGUUUGAUACCUGGUUAUAGAGGUGACAUAACAAGCAUAAGGUCCAUUAUAACACAGUGAAUUAGAGGUGGGAGCUAAAAGCAGACAUGGACAGUGAGACGGUGUGAGGAGGUCAGGGGUCAAACACUAGAUCAGGACAGGUAGAAAUGGCAGGGCUGGAAAUAGACAGAGACACAUUCUGAUCAUGGCUCAGACCUGACCUGAGACACCCAAUCAGAAGAUGUCAUAACAAAGUCCUGACCUGAGACACCCAAUCAGAAGAUGCCAUAACAGAGUCCUGAC